RNAcentral lists this long non-coding RNA (2878 nucleotides) under Oryza sativa Indica Group (long-grained rice). RNAcentral's name for it is "lncRNA OsMH63_11G019570". Lineage: Eukaryota; Viridiplantae; Streptophyta; Magnoliopsida; Poales; Poaceae. The record is from RNAcentral.
AUGGAGUUCACCACAGGGGCAUUGGGCAUGCUACUUCCCAAGUUAGGCAAGCUCCUCAAGGAAGAGUAUGACCUGCAAAAGAGUGUAAAGGAGGGAAUCAUAUUCCUGAAGACCGAGCUUGAGAGCAUACAAGCAGCCCUAGAGAAGGUCUCAAAGGUGCAGCUAGACCAGCUAGACAAGCAAAUCAAGAUAUGGGCUAGAGACGUGAGGGAGUUGUCCUACGACAUUGAGGACAACAUCGAUAUCUUUAUGUUGCAUAUCAAUGACAUUGAGCCAGAUAAGAAAUAUAACUUCACAUGGUUAAUUGAUAAGUGCCAGAAGUCAUUGUCCAAGGUAAAGAUCCGCCAUAAAAUAGCCAAUGACAUCAAAGAUAUCAAGCGCCAAGUCAUGGAGGUGAUGGAACGGCACAAAAGAUACAUGAUUGAUGAUAUUGCAACUAAGCUUCCAACAACUAUUGACCCUCGCAUAUUGACAUUAUAUGAGAAGGUCACCAAGCUUGUUGGCAUUGAUAAGGCAAGUAAUGAUCUAAUAAAGAUGUUGUCUGUGGGGAACGGGGUGUCCGAGACCAUGCUCAAAAUGGUCUCUGUUGUCGGAUUUGGAGGAUUGGGCAAGAUAACUCUUGCCAAAGUAGUGUUCGACAAGCUUAAAGUGCAAUUUGAUUGUUUUGGUUUUAUUCCGGUUGGACAGAACCCCGACAUCAAGAAAGUUCUCAAGGACAUCUUAAUUGAAGUUAAUAAGGACAGGUAUAUGGUACUUGAUGUAUCAACGCAAAGUGAAAGGCAUAUAAUUGAUGAACUCCGAGAAUAUCUUGGAAAUAGAAGGUACUUGAUUGUUGUCGAUGACAUAUGGGAGACAUCAACAUGGAAUAUUAUUAAAUGUGCUUUUCUAGAUAAUAAUUGUGGAAGUAGAGUGAUUGCAACAACUCGUAUUUCUAAUGUUGCUAGUGAAAUUACAGAAGAAUUUGGUGAUGUUUACAGCAUGGCGCCACUUUCUAAUGAUAACUCGAAAAAGUUGUUCUAUAGCAGAAUAUCUCUUGCCGAUUGCAACAGCCCUACUAAUAAUCAGUUGGUUGAGGGAACUGAAAAGAUCUUAAAGAAAUGUGGCGGCGUACCACUUUCUAUAAUUACAAUGGCUAGUUUAUUAGUUCAUAAACCAAUGGAGGAUUGGUCCGAAGUGUAUGAAUCUAUUGGUUUUGGGGUUGCAGAUCAAAAUGAGGUAGUUCAGAAUACGAGGAAGAUAUUGUCUUUUAGCUACUACGAUUUGCCUUCACACCUAAAGACUUGUAUGCUUCACCUAAGCAUAUAUCCAGAAGAUAGUUUGAUUGAGAAGGAUGGUUUGAUAUGGAAGUGGGUAGCUGAAGGUUUUGUCCAUGAGGAACAAGGGAAGACGUUAUUUGAGGUCGGUGAGAGAUACUUCAUGCAGCUUAUAAAUAAAAGCAUGAUUCAACCAAUGGAGAGAUACGGUAUUGUGAACGGGUGUCGUGUCCAUGACAUGGUGCUAGAUCUCAUUCGCAUCCUGGCAACCAAAGAAAACUUUGUAAAGAUAUUGGACAGGGUACAUGUGGAUCCCAGCUCUUCUUCACAAAGCUACACAGUCCGUAGGAUAGCAUUGCACAAGAGAUGGAACCAAGAAAGACUAGACGCCAGCAUGACACGACUGAGGUCAUUCAAUGCCAUGGAGUGUUCUAUUAGUGUGAUGCCCUCACUUAUUAGCUUUCGAGUUCUACGUGUGCUAGCACUGGAAAAAUGUAAUGUCACAGGAGGAUGUUGCCUCAAGCAUCUUGGAAAGCUGCUUCAUUUGAGGUACCUUGGACUUAGGUACACACGUGUUGCUGAAAUCCCAAGCGAAAUAGGUGAUCUCGUACACCUGCAGGUACUGGAUGUCCUGGACACCUGGUUGGUGACACUACCGGCCACCAUUGGAAACCUAACAAGGCUAAUGCGCCUAUACAUCAACAUUAGAAGAAGAGCUCUUACCAGUGUUGGGAGCCUGACGUCACUGCAAGAUCUGUCUCUCGGUACUGUAUCCGAUGACAGCUGCCCAAACUUCAUUGCAGAGGUGUGCAAAUUGACGGAUAUGAGGAGGAUUAAGAUUAAUUGGUCCAAGAAAACAGACGAGGGCUCGCUAGAGGCACUGGUGGAGUCCUUGCGCAUCCUACACCAGUUACAGAACCUGGAGAUCUGGUUCCCUAUACCACUGCAGGUAGAGUACCCAGUGAUGAGCGGCUGGGAAGGUUGGGAGCCUGCGCGGCAACUCCGGCAAUUCUGCAUACACAACGUGGACCUGCCUCGGCUGCUGGCAUGGGUGAACUCCAUGCGUGUCCCGCACCUCACCCACCUGGACCUUCGAGUUGUAGGCAUGGAGGCACGAGACCUGGACGUCCUUGCAAUGAUGCCGGCACUCUGCUUCCUCCGCAUAGACGUCAAGGAGAGAUUUUCGUGGACAGCCGGUGGCGGCGGAUCAUUCCCAAACCUGAGAUACUGCGACACGAACAUAGAACUCACCUUCCUUCAAGGAGCGAUGCCCAUGCUUCUGGAUGUUGUUUUGAUCGUGCGCGGAUCUAGGGAUGAUCCUGCUAACAAUGUUGGCUUGGGGAACCUCCCACUGCUCAAGAAAGUCCUUAUUCGGCUCAAUUGCGAAGGUGAGACGGCCAAGCAGGUUGAAGAAGUGGUGGUGGCAUGGGAGCAUGCCGUCCAUGCUCACCCCAACCGUCCAGUCAUUUCUGUGCACCGAUUUGGGGAGUUCUUGAUGAAAAAAGAUGAUGGUGAUGACGAGGAGGAGAUUUUAGCUACGUAUGAAGUUGAUGGAAGUGAUCAUGAGGAGGAGAUUUCAGCUACCGACCAACAGGUAUUAGAGCAGGUACAAUAGCUAGCAGGCU